RNAcentral lists this transfer RNA (72 nucleotides) under Camelus bactrianus (Bactrian camel). It matches the Rfam family "tRNA". From Rfam's summary of the family: Transfer RNA (tRNA) molecules are approximately 80 nucleotides in length. Their secondary structure includes four short double-helical elements and three loops (D, anti-codon, and T loops). Further hydrogen bonds mediate the characteristic L-shaped molecular structure. tRNAs have two regions of fundamental functional importance: the anti-codon, which is responsible for specific mRNA codon recognition, and the 3' end, to which the tRNAs corresponding amino acid is attached (by aminoacyl-tRNA synthetases). tRNAs cope with the degeneracy of the genetic code in two manners: having more than one tRNA (with a specific anti-codon) for a particular amino acid; and 'wobble' base-pairing, i.e. permitting non-standard base-pairing at the 3rd anti-codon position. The record is from Rfam by way of RNAcentral. Lineage: Eukaryota; Metazoa; Chordata; Mammalia; Artiodactyla; Camelidae. RNAcentral also lists the same sequence under 3 other names.
GAGGGUAUAGCUCAGUGGUAGAGCCCAUGCUUAGCAUGCAAGAGGUCCUGGGUUCAAUCCUCAGCACCUCCA